Molecule: ribosomal RNA, 265 nt
Filed under: uncultured bacterium
Lineage: Bacteria
Description: partial 16S ribosomal RNA
Rfam family: Bacterial small subunit ribosomal RNA
Source: RNAcentral
GUCCACGCCGUAAACGAUGGGCACUAGGUGCUUCGGGGAGCGACCCUCGGAGUGCCGGCGCUAACGCAUUAAGUGCCCCGCCUGGGGAGUACGGCCGCAAGGCUGAAACUCAAAGGAAUUGACGGGGGCCCGCACAAGCAGUGGAGCAUGUGGUUUAAUUCGACGCAACGCGAAGAACCUUACCUGGGCUUGACAUGUAUGGGAAAGCCGCCAGAAACGGCGGCCCUCCUUCGGGACCCAUGCACAGGUGCUGCAUGGCUGUCGU